AUGGACAUAGAAGCUACACCAGUUAUGAAGGCUUGUUCCCAAAUGAUGAAGUAUGCAGUCCACCAACAUCGGUGCAGGCUAAAAUGGAAGUAUUUUGAUGCUUUCGCAGUCUAUCUGGUGACAAUAAUUUCACCUGUCAAAUCGAUGAUUGAUGACCUGUGGAAUGCCCUUGUGGAAAGCUGGAAGAAUCCCAAAAAGAUGAUUGUGAAAAGGACAAAGCUAACCGAGCUCAAGUUAAGUUCCACCAAACAACUGGUUCACGUAGCUAUCACGUGCACUGAUAAUUUGGAGUGCCACAACAACAACAAGAAGAAAGGGUACACAGACACCGUUGUAUCUAAUGUGCUCACUUCGCACACCAAGAAGCCUAGGUUUCUUCAGCAUGAGGGGAUCCACCAUGUGCAUGAGAGAUCCAGUGGUACCAACCUGGAAGCACAACUAGCAGGGAGAAGAAAGGGAGUGCAGAGCUUCGGGAGGUAG
This 480-nucleotide ribosomal RNA is filed under the name Triticum aestivum (bread wheat). Its description in RNAcentral is "partial small subunit ribosomal RNA". Lineage: Eukaryota; Viridiplantae; Streptophyta; Magnoliopsida; Poales; Poaceae. The record is from RNAcentral.